GCAUUAAUGGGGUAGUGGUAACCUGGGUCGUUGCCAUAACAUGAUCUGUCUCGACCCGCCGGGGGUUCAAUUCCCCCUUAAUGCA
Molecule: non-coding RNA, 85 nt
Organism: Termitomyces sp. 'cryptogamus'
Lineage: Eukaryota; Fungi; Basidiomycota; Agaricomycetes; Agaricales; Lyophyllaceae
Source: the annotation of a GenBank genome assembly